Molecule: ribosomal RNA, 497 nt
Filed under: uncultured bacterium
Lineage: Bacteria
Description: partial 16S ribosomal RNA
Rfam family: Bacterial small subunit ribosomal RNA
Source: RNAcentral
GAUGAACGCUGGCGGCGUGCCUAAUACAUGCAAGUCGAGCGAACAGACGAGGAGCUUGCUCCUCUGACGUUAGCGGCGGACGGGUGAGUAACACGUGGAUACCCUACCUAUAAGACUGGGAUAACUUCGGGAAACCGGAGCUAAUACCGGAUAAUAUAUUGAACCGCAUGGUUCAAUAAUGAAAGACGGUUUUGCUGUCACUUAUAGAUGGAUCCGCGCCGCAUUAGCUAGUUGGUAAGGUAACGGCUUACCAAGGCAACGAUGCGUAGCCGACCUGAGAGGGUGAUCGGCCACACUGGAACUGAGACACGGUCCAGACUCCUACGGGAGGCAGCAGUAGGGAAUCUUCCGCAAUGGGCGAAAGCCUGACGGAGCAACGCCGCGUGAGUGAUGAAGGUCUUCGGAUCGUAAAACUCUGUUAUUAGGGAAGAACAAAUGUGUAAGUAACUAUGCACGGCUUGACGGUACCUAAUCAGAAAGCCACGGCUAACUACGUG